This 223-nucleotide ribosomal RNA is filed under the name Pheidole terribilis. RNAcentral describes it as "partial large subunit ribosomal RNA". The record is from RNAcentral. Lineage: Eukaryota; Metazoa; Arthropoda; Insecta; Hymenoptera; Formicidae.
GAAUUUUAUAUAAAUUUAUUAUAAAAUAUUAAUUAAAGAUUUGUUAAGUUUAUAUUUUAUUGGGAGGAUGAGUAAAUUUUAAAAACUUUAAAUGUAAUGAGAUCAUUAAUUUAUGAUGUAAAAAAUUAAAAAGAGUGACUUGUGUUAAGUUUAAUAAGAAUUAAUUACCUUAGGGAUAACAGCAUAAUAUUUUUAGAAAGAUCUUAUUAAUAAAGAUGAUUGU